This 2437-nucleotide unclassified non-coding RNA is filed under the name uncultured fungus. RNAcentral's name for it is "sequence contains 18S rRNA gene, ITS1, 5.8S rRNA gene, ITS2, 28S rRNA gene". The stretch from base 1213 to 2437 matches the Rfam family "Eukaryotic large subunit ribosomal RNA", at positions 1 to 961 of the family's 3401-position model. Lineage: Eukaryota; Fungi. The record is from RNAcentral.
AGCAGGAUCAUUACCAAUGAUUGUGGAUAGGAAGAGUUUGCCGGGAUCUCCAACGAUAGUUGGAAAUUUAGGUAGACACUCAUCGAGAGACUUAUUUUAGUUUCUCGGUGCGUCUGUCGUAGCAGAUCAACCGACGAGACGUUAAACUAUAAAGGAAAAUUUGAUAUCCCUUCCCUCCGAUCUGUGCUUGUUGAAUAGUGAGGGAGUUAAAUCCCUCACCGGUGCAAAUGCACACAAACAAGCGGUGAGCGACGUUAGUCAACCUUCUCGUGGUGCUCGCUGUUAGUAACCAUAUACUCGCGCCCUUUGUGCACGGUGUAUGGUCAAGCGAAUAGACUAACAACUGGCAUACUGGCUGAGCAAUACUCGCGCCCUUUGUGCACGGUACUCGCGAAGCGGAUAGACCACCUGGGAUAUUGGCUGAGCAGUACUCGCGCCCUUUGUGCACGGUAUCCGCGAAGCGAAUAAACCAGAAAAUGGAUGUUGGCAUCGGCUUCGAUAUCCUCGAUGAAAUCUGAGGGGCUCUCGUAAUAGGGCCGGCCCACUUGAUUUUCCAUCGGCAGAAAAUCGAUGGGUUUUGUCGAGAGAUUCGUGGGAGUAAAGUCCCACGAAACCCUCGAUGAAAUUUGCGGGGCGCUCUUGGAGGGCCCAGCCCACUUGAUUUUGCCUGGGCAGAAAAUAGUUUCGUUUUGUCGGGAUAUUCGUGGGAGUAAAAUCCCCUGAUUUCUAUCGACAUAAUUAUCCUAUUACUUAAGAGGUGUUCUGGACUGAAAGCCUCUAAGGACAGCAGUGAAUAGUACUGGCAUGCAACCGUGGAUGCCUUGGUUUGUGACAUGAUGAAGAACGGAGCUGAAGCUGAUACAUGUGGUGAAUCGCAGAGUCUCAUGAUCCAUUCCAGCCUUCGAAUGCAAACUGCAGGCCCAGUGGACUUCUGUUCUCUGGCGCCCUGUGCAUCUCAGGGCGGUUGUAACAUUCGGUAUCGUGAUGAGCUACCCUCCUUCAGUCAAGGCUUUCCUUCACCUUUCCCAAUGAGAGGUUCACCGACGAUCAGGUUUCUCAAUCAAUCACGGCGACGAUCACACAUAACAAAGACUAGUUCUUCAAACAGGGAAGGAUGUUACUCGAUCAGCCUGUGUUCCUUUUCGUUCCGAGGUAUACAGAUGAGUAUGGGGAUCGUCGUCAUUGAUUGAUUGCAUUGAGACAUCGAGUUUAUGUCCUGAUGGUGUACAAAGAAACCUACCCAACUUAAGCAUAUCAGUCGGUGGAGGAAGAGAAAGCAACAGCGAUUGGCUUAGUAACGGCGAGUGAAGGGCCAUCUGGCCCAUCCUUGAAACCAUUGGAUCCUUGCGGUCUAGUGGUGUUGAAGGGUACGAGUUCGGUGUGCCUGUAGCAAGCUCGGAGAUCAUUAACACCCUGGAACGAGUGCGCAAUAGAGGGGUAAAGCCCGUUUGACGUGAAAGCAGUCCUCGAGCAGGUUACAUGGCAUGUUGUACUCACGAGUAGAGCUUCUUGGAAUUGCAGCUCGAAUCGGGUGGUGUAUCCCACCUAAGGCUAAAUACUGUCACAAAACCAAUAGAGCACAAGUAGUGUGAACGAAUGGUGCAAAGAACUCUGCAAAGAGAGCUAAAAGUCCCUGAAGCGGUUGUAUGUAUAAGGGAUGAGAAACUCCAUGCACGAUCACUUAGGCUGCUGUUCCGGCAGUGGCUCUGGGUGUGGGAAGAUGUUUAGUCGGCGUAUUCCUAGCGAUCAGAUGCCCUUGUGCUGGCGGGUGCUUUCGUCAGGGCCUUAAGUCUCCGGACUCAGGAUGACCGGCGAGAGCUACCACGUCGUGUGCGAGGCGAUAGCGGUGAAAAGACCCUGGAGCGAGAAUUGGCCUCGAGAAGGCUUCUGAGUUGAAGUUGAUCGACGGUUUUGCGUGUCCAACAUUGCUGGCUCCGUGGUGCCUGCAGUGAUGACCUUCGCUUCGGUGUUGGAAGUCAUUGCGGGCGCCAUGCGUAGUUCUCAAUGCUACGUGCUUAGACGAUGUCCAGAUAUCUGAUGAAUAUGGGUUCUCUUCCACCCGUCUUGAAACACGGACCAAGGAGUCUGCUGCGUGUGCAAGCAUGAAACCGUCUAACAAACGGUUAUAAGGGAUCCCUUCUGAGUUCUCUCGGUUGGUGACCCUCAAUGCGUGGUGAAAGCAAAGAUUAUAUCAAGAGCGACAAUACAAGUUCGGCUGUGAUGGUUCCAGCCACCGGGCCUUCCGGUCGAUGAUGGGACAGGGCUUUGAGUGAGAGCACAGGCGGCAGGACGCGAAAGGUGGUGAACUAUACCUUACUACGGUGAAGCCAUGGGAAACUGUGGUGGAAGCCGGUAGCAGUACUGACGUGCAAAUCGUUUGUCGGAGUGAGGCAUAGGGGCGAAAGACUCAUCGAACCACCUAGUAGCUGGUUUCCUU